CUAACCGUAAAGUUGUUAUGGUGAGCUACCUUGAUGUAGCGCCUGGACAGUACAGGGGCUAGGUUAAAAUGCAAAGGACUUGGCGGUGCUCCAAACCCACCUAGAGGAGCCUGUUCUAUAACCGAUAAUCCACGUUAAACCUCACCACUUCUUGCUCUUUCCGCCUAUAUACCGCCGUCGUCAGCUCACCCCAUGAGGGCUCAACAGUAAGCAUAACGACCUUAAUCCUCAAUACGUCAGGUCGAGGUGUAGCGAAUGAAGUGGGAAGAAAUGGGCUACAUUCUCUUUCUAAAGCACACGAACAGAAGUAUGAAAAACUUCCCGAAGGUGGAUUUAGCAGUAAGUAAAUUUUAGAACAUUAUACUGAAACCGGCUCUGGAGCGCGCACACACCGCCCGUCACCCUCCAA
This 409-nucleotide ribosomal RNA is filed under the name Pastinachus sephen (cowtail stingray). RNAcentral describes it as "partial 12S ribosomal RNA". It matches the Rfam family "Bacterial small subunit ribosomal RNA", at positions 821 to 1407 of the family's 1533-position model. The record is from RNAcentral. Lineage: Eukaryota; Metazoa; Chordata; Chondrichthyes; Myliobatiformes; Dasyatidae.